ACUUCAUCUGCCCACUUGUUUAACCUUUCUUCAGGAUCAUACACUAUCUCUAGCUGUUUCUUGGAGGCUUUGACAAAUGAAGUCCUUUGCUUUUGAUAAAAAGAGACAGACCCACUAGGCCUAAACGAAGGUAGAUUGCUUUUGGAGAAUGAAUUGGAGGAAUAAUGGAAGACGUGGUUGUUGCAGAGCAAAUGAGCGGAAGCCAUGGCUGCUAGCUCUGCAGUUGCAAAUGCA
Molecule: unclassified non-coding RNA, 234 nt
Filed under: Hevea brasiliensis (rubber tree)
Lineage: Eukaryota; Viridiplantae; Streptophyta; Magnoliopsida; Malpighiales; Euphorbiaceae
Source: RNAcentral